RNAcentral lists this ribosomal RNA (460 nucleotides) under uncultured bacterium. RNAcentral describes it as "partial 16S ribosomal RNA". It matches the Rfam family "Bacterial small subunit ribosomal RNA", at positions 338 to 795 of the family's 1533-position model. The record is from RNAcentral.
CCUACGGGUGGCAGCAGUGAGGAAUAUUGGUCAAUGGACGAGAGUCUGAACCAGCCAAGUAGCGUGAAGGAUGACUGCCCUAUGGGUUGUAAACUUCUUUUAUAUGGGAAUAAAACAGGGUAUGCAUACCCUCUCGUAUGUACCAUAUGAAAAAGGAUCGGCUAACUCCGUGCCAGCAGCCGCGGUAAUACGGAGGAUACGAGCGUUAUCCGGAUUUAUUGGGUUUAAAGGGAGCGUAGGUGGAUUGUUAAGUCAGGUGUGAAAGUUUGGGGCUCAACCGUAAAAUUGCAGUUGAAACUGGCAGUCUAGAGUGCAGUAGAGGUAAGCGGAAGUCGUGGUGUAGCGGUGAAAUGCGUAGAUAUCAGGAAGAACACCGAUGGCGAAGGCAGCUCACUGGACUGCAACUGACGCUGAGGCUCGAAAGUGUGGGGAGCAAACAGGAUUAGAUACCCGUGUAGUC